RNAcentral lists this ribosomal RNA (422 nucleotides) under uncultured bacterium. RNAcentral describes it as "bacterial SSU rRNA". It matches the Rfam family "Bacterial small subunit ribosomal RNA", at positions 355 to 774 of the family's 1533-position model. The record is from RNAcentral.
UAGGGAAUAUUGGGCAAUGGACGGAAGUCUGACCCAGCCAUGCCGCGUGCAGGAAGAAGGCGCUCAGCGUUGUAAACUGCUUUUAUCGGGGAAGAACGGCAGUCCCGCGGGACUGUGUGACGGUACUCGAGGAAUAAGCACCGGCUAACUCCGUGCCAGCAGCCGCUGUAAUACGGAGGGUGCGAGCGUUGUCCGGAUUUAUUGGGUUUAAAGGGUGCGUAGGUGGGUUAGUAAGUCAGUGGUGAAAUCUUCGAGCUUAACUCGGAAACUGCCAUUGAUACUAUAGGUCUUGAAUCAUCUGGAGGUAAGCGGAAUAUGUCAUGUAGCGGUGAAAUGCUUAGAUAUGACAUAGAACACCGAUUGCGAAGGCAGCUCACUACGGAUGUAUUGACACUGAGGCACGAAAGCGUGGGGAUCAAACA